Molecule: ribosomal RNA, 1130 nt
Filed under: Salmonella enterica
Lineage: Bacteria; Pseudomonadati; Pseudomonadota; Gammaproteobacteria; Enterobacterales; Enterobacteriaceae
Also listed under: 1 other name
Description: bacterial LSU rRNA
Rfam family: Bacterial large subunit ribosomal RNA
Source: RNAcentral
CAUGCACCGAAGCUGCGGCAGCGAACGUAUCACCCAAGACAACUUUGCGGAGUUGACGAUUGACGGAGCGAAGCGACGUCAAAGCGUUCAUUAAAGUCGAGUUGGCUUAGGGAUACGUUCGUUGGGUAGGGGAGCGUUCUGUAAGCCUGUGAAGGUGGCCUGUGAGGGUUGCUGGAGGUAUCAGAAGUGCGAAUGCUGACAUAAGUAACGAUAAAGCGGGUGAAAAGCCCGCUCGCCGGAAGACCAAGGGUUCCUGUCCAACGUUAAUCGGGGCAGGGUGAGUCGACCCCUAAGGCGAGGCCGAAAGGCGUAGUCGAUGGGAAACGGGUUAAUAUUCCCGUACUUGGUGUUACUGCGAAGGGGGGACGGAGAAGGCUAUGUUGGCCGGGCGACGGUUGUCCCGGUUUAAGCGUGUAGGUGUGUGUUCCAGGUAAAUCCGGUUCACUUUAACACUGAGGCGUGAUGACGAGGCACUACGGUGCUGAAGCAACAAAUGCCCUGCUUCCAGGAAAAGCCUCUAAGCAUCAGGUAACAUCAAAUCGUACCCCAAACCGACACAGGUGGUCAGGUAGAGAAUACCAAGGCGCUUGAGAGAACUCGGGUGAAGGAACUAGGCAAAAUGGUGCCGUAACUUCGGGAGAAGGCACGCUGACACGUAGGUGAAGUGAUUUACUCAUGGAGCUGAAGUCAGUCGAAGAUACCAGCUGGCUGCAACUGUUUAUUAAAAACACAGCACUGUGCAAACACGAAAGUGGACGUAUACGGUGUGACGCCUGCCCGGUGCCGGAAGGUUAAUUGAUGGGGUCAGCGCAAGCGAAGCUCCUGAUCGAAGCCCCGGUAAACGGCGGCCGUAACUAUAACGGUCCUAAGGUAGCGAAAUUCCUUGUCGGGUAAGUUCCGACCUGCACGAAUGGCGUAAUGAUGGCCAGGCUGUCUCCACCCGAGACUCAGUGAAAUUGAACUCGCUGUGAAGAUGCAGUGUACCCGCGGCAAGACGGAAAGACCCCGUGAACCUUUACUAUAGCUUGACACUGAACAUUGAGCCUUGAUGUGUAGGAUAGGUGGGAGGCUUUGAAGUGUGGACGCCAGUCUGCAUGGAGCCGACCUUGAAAUACCACCCUUUAAUGUUU